UCUCUCUUUCUUGUUCUUUCUCUUCAACUUCACCAAAUUUCAAAUUCUCUCUUCCACCGUACCUUUCUGUGAGACACCCAUGGUUGAAUCUCCAUGCCACCGAGUCCCACACCACCACUACCGGCGGUGCUUGUUGUAGUGGCCUUCUCCUAUCUUAAGGUUCUCUCUCUGAUUUCUCGUUCUCUCUAGCCCAAAUCCAGCUAUGGCAUAAUGGCACCAACUCCACCAUCGUUGGCGGUGCUUCUCACCUGCUUCACCACCACUAGUGACAAUAUUACAACAAUUCAUUGCUUGGGUUUGGCUUUCAUUUUAAUUUUAAUGUUAAUUUUUGGAGUGCAUAGAGAUGUUUGUGAAAAUGUCUACUAGAAACUUUUAAGUUAUUAUAAAAAUAGGCGUGGGGUGGUUUGCUAAUUUAUUGUUGUUUUGGUAUUUGGGAUUUCCCCUUUGUAUGGGUUCCUUUUGUUUGCUUUUGAAAUUUUAAAAGUUAGUGAUUUAUCACAAGCUCAUUGAUUUUUGUUUGUGUUUUUUUCGUGUCAUUCUAAAUCUGAUGGGAAAUUAAUAUAUAGGUGUUUUCUUAUGGGAAAUUUAUCUUAGAUACUAUCUUAAAUUCCUUAAUGUCAAAUACAUGUGAUUGGUCUUUUUUACUGUGUUGUGCUGUUGCAGGUUUCAAUAUCUUUGCUUAAAGGUUUCAAUAUCCUUUGAAGAGAAAGAACAAGAAAGAUAGAGGAAUCGAACUGAGCCUGAGUCCACAUCUAUAAAUAAAUAAAUUCACGACAACAUCAGAGUUCAUCGCCUCUUCUUAACGGUGUUUAUUUGUCCCAGACAAGAACACCAGAGUUCAUCGCCUCUAUUUCUAACUGCACCAAUAUCCCAACUCUUAAGGGAAGUUUGUAUCACAUUGUGGUAGGUCUUGACAAGAAGGAAGCUUUGAACAUUAUAGUGCACAAGAUGGAGGUGGUGGUGGUGGACAAAAUAUCUGAAUUGCCAGAGCCUCUUCUACAAUACAUUUUGUCUUUCCUUCCUAUUAAACAAGUUGUUCAAUCCAGUACAUUGUCCAAGAGAUGGAAUCAUGUCUGUUCUACAAUCCCAGUUCUAGAAUUUGAUAAAUCCUUCUUCGAGUCAAAGUUGUGGUGUCAAGACACCAAGGAAACUUGCGAAAUCCAGAGAAAGAGGGUGGAGUUAUAUCACUUUGUGGAGCAAAAUUUACUAAGCCGCCGUAGGCAAGGGCUAAGUAUAAAGAAGUUUACAUUUGCAGUGUACUUGAGGACACCGAAAUCAGUGUCUCGUGUGGACCGGUGGAUUGAAUAUGUAGUCAAGAGUGAUGUUGAAGAGCUUAAUCUUGACUUUCAAACGUUUAAAUGGAAGUGGAAGAGGUAUUAUCCCUUGCCUCAGAAUAUUCUACUUGCAAAAUCAAUAACUGUGUUGAGGUUAAAGGCAUGUAGGUUGGAUUCAUACUUUGGUGAUAUAAACUUAUCCUCUUUGAAAAUUUUGUCUUUAUAAAGUGGGUACAAAUGAUCAAAUUAUCCAAAAUCUAGUUGCCGGGUGUCCUGUGAUAGAAGACAUAGGAAUUGAAUACUGUCGUGGGUUGAAAUGUAUACAGUUCUCUGGUCUACCUAAAGUCAAGUCAAUUGAGUUGAAAAGCAAUAAAGGUGUUGAGACAGUUGAAUUAGAAGCAUCAAAUAUUUAUCAUGUACAUAUCCAACGGUUUGAAGCAUCCAAGAUCAACCUGGUGCCCUGUAAAAAUCUUAAGUUAUUAAUGCUAGGAAAACUGCACAUAACAGACAGCUGCUUCAAUUACCAUAUUUCUCAACUUCCGCUCAUUGAGUACUUGUCCAUAUAUUGGUGUGAUAAGUUGGAAAGUAUUAAGAUUUCAAGUCAUCGUCUUAAGACAUUACACAUAUUGAAAUGCGACAAGCUGGUUGAAGUCGAGAUUAACACUCCUAAGUUAUGUAAACUUUCAUAUCUUGGUGGUAAUACAAUAUCCUUUUCAGUGACUGCUUUGGCUUAUUUAUCAAAAGCUACCUACCAGAUGUUGCACUCCGAUGCUCCUUGGAAUGUUAAAAAGAUUGAAUUGCUUGCAAAUUUGAGUAAUUCCAAAUUAUUGGAGUUGCUAAAUAUUAGCUCCACAAAGGAUAUGGUUAUACCAAAGGAAUUGAGAGACAUAGUAUCAUCCCCAUCAUAUAAAGUCAAGCAGUUGAAGGUAGAGAUAUCGAAGUCAUUUACUACACAUGAAUUCAUUGAACUUGUGGAUAGCUUGCUUUGGAUUUCUCCUCGUCUAGAGCUUUUGUUAAUAACACAUGGGGAAUGGAUUGACAAGAAUUGGUAUCGCGAGACCAUAUCUUUCAAGUUCUCCUAUGAAAAGCCCAUUCUUAGAGGGGAGAAUUAUAGUUGUUGCAAAUUCCUUCCAGAUCCAUGUUGGAGGCAUUGCUUAAAGAGUGUCACGAUUGAGAAUUGUAGAGCACCUGCAAAUGUAGAGACUGUGAGGGCAGAUAAAGAAAUUCUAGAGAAGUACUUUUAUGAGAAUGCAAAGAUCCUGGAGAGCUUCCAAUUCAAUCCUAAAGUUGAAUGACAAAAAUUUUAAAGUAUCGUUUAAGAGAAUGUAGGUAUUUUAAGUUGAAUGACAGAGAGACUGAGAUAAUGUCCAGUUGCAUCAUCUGUAGACAUCAUUUCUGUCUAUGCCUAGAGUGCCUGGCCUGACUUGAGGUUUUAAGUUGUUAUGUAAGACAAAAUAUACUGUUUAAUUUAUUGUUUAUUGAUUUUGAUAUUUUCAUGCAACUUUUGAAGUUUUAGAUUAUGGUUGAUAUUUUCUUAAUUUUAGAUGUUAUUAAUACUUUCUAGACAAAUUAGAGUCCUUUUCUACUAUCUAUCUACUAAUCUGUAUAUAAAUAGUGCGAAUGUGCGUCAGUUGACAUUGUAGCUACAGUAGCUAUAGGUUUUUUUUUUUUUUUUUUUUUUUUUUUUUUUUUUUUUUUUUUUUUUUUUUUUUUUUCCAGUCAUUGGUUUGUGCUUUUUUUUUUUUUUCCUUUUAAAUAUUUAUAUGAGCUAGCAUAUAUAUUUUUAUACUGACACAACAAAUUUCACAAUAUUUUCACAAUUAUUGAGGUGCCAAUUUCUUAUAAGUCGAAAUAAAAUAAUAAAAUAUGAGAUUGUAAUCAAACUUUAUGUAUUUAGGUUUUUUCUUUUUGUUCAUUUUUUUAUGAUGUCGAUAUAUUUAAGUUUUUUUUUGGUUUUAAAUUUUAUAUAAUUUAUGUUUUUUGAUGACCCCCCUUAAAAAAUAAUCUUGGAGUCGUGACUGCCUGAUUAACCUACUUGGACAGUUGGACCAUAUUAUAUCUGAGACGCAGCAUGUAGCUUUAUCCUUGCCUUGGCGUAGAUUCACCCAUUUACAAAGGUUAAGUCCUUUUGUAGUUGUACUCUAGUUAUAUAAUGUAUUAUAAACCCGAUUUAAAAUACUAGUAUUACCAUUUUCGUGUAUGUUCUAAUAAGUAUUACUGUUUACUCAAAAAAAAAAAAAAAUUGCUACCUUAUGCCAUAGUGGAGAGAGUUAUUGAUGCUUAUAACUUGAUUGUGUGGAUGGAAGAUCUUUGCUUACCAUCAUAUUUAUUUGGGUCCACCACAAAUAUAAUUUUUUGUAAUACACCAAUCACAAUAUAUUAUAUCAGUGGUUAUAAAAAAAAAUAAAAAAUAAAAAUAAAAAAAAAAGAAGAAGAAGAAGAAGGAGGUUGUGUCCUUAAUGGAGGCAAAGAGGCUAUCUUGUACUAUUAAUCCUUUAUAUUGUAUAUUGAAGGGGUUUGGAAGUUUUUGAUGGUUUACUCGGUUGGAGGGGUUUGUUUUUGAUGGUUUACUCGUGAAUUUAUUUAUAAAUAAAUAAAUUCACAACAACAUUGAUAUCUAUUCUUUCUAUUUAACAGUGUUUGUAUUUGAAGUUUCUUUUUGAUGUCCCAGACAAACCCCCAGAGUUCAUUGCCCUGAUUUCUAACUGCACCAAUAUCCCAAGGGAAGUUGUAUCACAUUAUGGACAAAAUAUCUGAAUUGCCUGAGCCUCUUCUACACCACAUUCUGUCUUUCCUUCCCAUUAAACAAGUUUUUCAAUCUAGUACGUUGUCCAAGAGAUGGAAUUAUGUCUGGUCUACAAUCCCAGUUCUAGAAUUUGAUAAAUCCUUCUUUGAGUCAAAGUUGUGGUGUCGAGACACUAAGAAAACUUGCGAAAUCCAGAGAAAGAGGGUGGAGUUAUAUCACUUUGUGGACCAAAAUUUACUAAGCCGCUGUAGGCAAGGGUUAAAUAUAAAGAACUAAAGAAGUUUACACUUUACACUUUCAGUGUACUUGAGUACACCGAAAUCAGUGUCUCAUGUGGACCAUUGGAUCGAAUAUGUAGUCAAGAGUGAUGUUGAAUAGCUUAAUCUUGACUUUCAAAAAUUUGAAAGGAAGUGGAAGAGGUAUUAUCCCUUGCCUCAGAAUGUUCUACUUGCAAAAUCAAUAACUGUGUUGAGGUUAAAGGCAUGUCGGUUGGAGUCAUACUUUGGUGAUAUAAACUUAUCCUCUUUGAAAAUUUUGUCUUUAUAUAAAGUGGGUACAAAUGAUCAAAUUAUCCAAAAUCUAGUUGCUGGGUGUCCUGUGAUAGAAGACAUAGGAAUUGAAGACUGUUGUGGGUUGAAAAGUGUACAGUUCUCUGGUCUUCCUAAAGACAAGGCAAUUGAGUUGAAAAACAAUAAAGGUGUUGAGACAGUUGAAUUAGAAACAUCAAACAUUUAUCAUGUACAUAUCCAACAGUUUGAAGCAUCCAAGAUCAACCUGGUGCCCUGCAAAAAUCUGAAGUUAUUAAAGCUAGGAAAACUGCACAUAACAGACAGCUGCUUCAAUUACCAUAUUUCUCAACUUCCACUCAUUGAGUACUUGUCCGUAUAUUGGUGUGAUAAGUUGGAAAGUAUUAAGAUUUCAAGUCAUCUUCUUAAGACAUUACACAUAUUGAAAUGCAACAAGCUGGUUGAAGUCGAGAUUAACACUCCUAAGUUAUGUAAACUUGCAUAUCUUGGUGGUAAUACAAUAUCCUUUUCAGUGACUGCUUUGGCUUAUUUGUCAAAAGCUACCUACUAGAUGUUGCACUCCAAUGCUCCUUGGAAUGUUAAAAAGAUUGAAUUGCUUGCAAAUUUGAGUAAUUCCAAAUUAUUGAAGUUGCUAAAUAUUAAAUUCGCCAAGGAUAUGGUUAUACCAAAGGAAUUGAGAGACAUAGUAUCAAUGUAUCAUCCCCAUCAUAUAAAGUCAAGCAGUUGAAGGUAGAGAUAUCGAAGUCAUUUACUACACAUGAAUUCAUUGAACUUGUGGAUAGCUUGCUCUAGAUUUCUCCUCUUCUAGAGCUUUUGUUAAUAAAAUAUGGGAAAUGGAUAGACAAAGAUAAGUGUUACGAGACCAUAUCUUUCAAGUUCUCCUAUGAAAAGCCCAUUCUUGGAGGGGAGAAUUCUAGUUGUUGCAAAUUCCUACCAGUUCCUAGUUGGAGGCAUUGCUUAAAGAGCGUCAUGAUAGAGAACUUUAGAGCAUUCACAAAUGUAGAGACUCUAAAGGCAGAUGAAGAAUUUCUAGAGAAGUACUUUUAUGAGAACGCAAAUUUCUUGGAGAGCUUCCAAUUCAUUCCUAGAGCUGUUUGCUUAAACAAAAAAUUGUAAGUAUCCUUUUAGAGAUUGUAGGAAUUUUAAGUUGAAUGAUUGAGAGAAUGGAGACUGAUAUGAUGUCCACUUCUAUCAUUUGUAAACAUCAUCUAUGUCUAUGCCUAGAGUGCCUGGCCUGAUCACUUGAGGAUUACUUUUAAGUUGUGAUGUAAGACAAACAAUAUAGUUUAAUUUAUUGUUUGAUUUUGAUAU
This is an RNA transcript of Quercus robur (English oak), 5858 nucleotides long. RefSeq lists it as uncharacterized. Lineage: Eukaryota; Viridiplantae; Streptophyta; Magnoliopsida; Fagales; Fagaceae. The transcript is spliced from 8 exons. The record is from RefSeq and is a predicted model, not a curated record.